GGUUGCCUGGUGAUUAUGGAAUAAGCAGCGGACUUACAGACACUCAGCGUCCAGGCGCACCAGGCCACCACAUCCCAGACAUGAGUACCUGUGCAAAAUGCAUUCAUUCCUCCAUCUUGGACGAGUUUACUGAGCACCUGUGAUGUGCCAGGCACUAGGGGUGCUGCAGCGGAAGAGCUAAGCAUUGAGGGAGACCAGAACUGCCUUCUGAAUGCCAUUAUGACUUGACUCAGCUGGGAACCACGAGAGGACGA
This 254-nucleotide long non-coding RNA is filed under the name Homo sapiens (human). RNAcentral describes it as "long non-coding RNA NONHSAT039554.2". Lineage: Eukaryota; Metazoa; Chordata; Mammalia; Primates; Hominidae. The record is from RNAcentral.